RNAcentral lists this ribosomal RNA (558 nucleotides) under Triticum aestivum (bread wheat). Its description in RNAcentral is "partial small subunit ribosomal RNA". The record is from RNAcentral. Lineage: Eukaryota; Viridiplantae; Streptophyta; Magnoliopsida; Poales; Poaceae.
ACAAACCACAUCACAGGUGAACUUGACAAGUUGACGAUGCGGGAGAAGUACAAUGGAGGCGACCAAAUUCGCACGGCAAGCGGUUCUGGUAUGGAUAUCACACACAUUGGCAGUUCAAUUGUUAAAACCCCCGUGAAAAAUUUACACUUGACCAAUGUCUUGCAUGUUCCUCAAUCCUCUAAAAAUCUUGUUUCCGUUCAUCGAUUCACUCUUGAUAACAAUGUUCUUAUUGAGUUCUAUCCUUAUUUUUUCUUGGUUAAGGACUUGAAAACAAGGAGAGUCAUUCUUAGAGGACGGUGCGUGGGAGGACUCUACCCACUCAUAUCAUCAUCAUCGUCAUCAUCUUCAUGGUCCAAUAAACAAGCAAAUAUUGUCACCAAGCUAUCUACAUCAAGGUGGCAUAGUCGUUUAGGUCAUCCAUCUUCAGUCAUAGUUAGAUAUGUUCUUAGCAAAAAUAAACUCUCUUAUGAGCCUAGUAGUGAGUUAGUUUGUGAUCCGUGUCAACAAGCAAAAAGUCAUCAAUUACCUUACCCAAUUUCUACUAGUGUGUCUACUGCC